Molecule: ribosomal RNA, 322 nt
Filed under: uncultured bacterium
Lineage: Bacteria
Description: bacterial SSU rRNA
Rfam family: Bacterial small subunit ribosomal RNA
Source: RNAcentral
CCUUCGGGCUUAGUGGCGCACGGGUGCGUAACGCGUGGGAAUCUGCCCUUGGGUUCGGAAUAACAGUUAGAAAUGACUGCUAAUACCGGAUGAUGUCUUCGGACCAAAGAUUUAUCGCCCAGGGAUGAGCCCGCGUAGGAUUAGCUAGUUGGUGGGGUAAUGGCCUACCAAGGCGACGAUCCUUAGCUGGUCUGAGAGGAUGAUCAGCCACACUGGGACUGAGACACGGCCCAGACCCCUACGGGAGGCAGCAGUGGGGAAUAUUGGACAAUGGGCGAAAGCCUGAUCCAGCAAUGCCGCGUGAGUGAUGAAGGCCUUAGGG